CAGUCGCCGCGGUAAUACGUAGGUGGCAAGCGUUGUCCGGAAUUAUUGGGCGUAAAGGGCUCGCAGGCGGUUUCUUAAGUCUGAUGUGAAAGCCCCCGGCUCAACCGGGGAGGGUCAUUGGAAACUGGGAAACUUGAGUGCAGAAGAGGAGAGUGGAAUUCCACGUGUAGCGGUGAAAUGCGUAGAGAUGUGGAGGAACACCAGUGGCGAAGGUGACUCUCUGGUCUGUAACUGACGCUGAGGAGCGAAAGCGUGGGGAGCGAACAGGAUUAGAUACCCGGGUAGUCCCUGUCUCUUAUAC
RNAcentral lists this ribosomal RNA (301 nucleotides) under uncultured bacterium. RNAcentral describes it as "partial 16S ribosomal RNA". It matches the Rfam family "Bacterial small subunit ribosomal RNA", at positions 509 to 807 of the family's 1533-position model. The record is from RNAcentral.